AGAGAGAGAGAUGGAGAGGGGGAAGGUACUCCAGAGAGAGAGAGAGAGAGAUGGAGAGGGGGAAGGUACUCCAGAGAGAGAGAGAGAUGGAGAGGGGGAAGGUACUCCAGAGAGAGAGAGAGAGAGAUGGAGAGGGGGAAGGUACUCCAGAGAGAGAGAGAGAGAGAUGGGGAGGGGGAAGGUACUCCAGAGAGAGAGAGAGAGAGAUGGAGAGGGGGAAGGUACUCCAGAGAGAGAGAGAGAGAGAGAUGGAGAGGGGGAAGGUACUCCAGAGAGAGAGAGAUGGAGAGGGGGAAGGUACUCCAGAGAGAGAGAGAGAUGGAGAGGGGGAAGGUACUCCAGAGAGAGAGAGAUGGAGAGGGGGAAGGUACUCCAGAGAGAGAGAGAGCGACAGUGAUCUGAGACUAAAGGCUGUCUUUUCUAUUCUGCUGCGUCUGUCAGAGUUAAAGCAGCCAGCCAUCGAGGUGGAGAAUAUUCAGCACAAAUGUCCUGUCUCUACUCUGUGUCAGGACCAAAUCAUUCAUCAGACCGGAUCAUGCCAGAGGGAGUACGCAUUGGUUUAAAAUUACAUCAAAACAAGGGAAAUGUUACGCUCAUUUAGCAGGGUUGGGUCAUUUCUAUGAUAAAGGUGGAUGGGUGGAUGGGUUUAUGGGGUUUUGUCAGGCGGCAGCCUUGUGUGUCUUCACUCCCCUCUGGAUACUGGAGAUAAGAUUUAUAUGGAGAGUUAUGAAUGGAGGGAGGGAGGAGAGGAUGCUGGGAACUGGAGGGAGGAGAGGAUGCUGGGAACUAGAGGGAGGGAGGAUGCUGGGAACUGGAGGGAGGGAGGAGAGGAUGCUGGGAACUGGAGGGAGGGAGGAGAGAAUGCUGGGAACUAGAGGGAGGGAGGAUGCUGGGAACUGGAGGGAGGGAGGAGAGGAUGCUGGGAACUGGAGGGAGGAAGGAGAGGAUGCUGGGAACUGGAGGGAGGGAGGAGAGGAUGCUGGGAACUGGAGGGAGGGAGGAGAGGAUGCUGGGAACUAGAGGGAGGGAGGAGAGGAUGCUGGGAACUGGAGGGAGGGAGGAGAGGAUGCUGGGAACUAGAGGGAGGGAGGAGAGGAUGCUGGGAACUGGAGGGGGAGGAUGCUGGGAACUGGAGGGAGGAAGGAGAGGAUGCUGGGAACUGGAGGGAGGGAGGAGAGGAUGCUGGGAACUGGAGGGAGGGAGGAUAAUGGGAACUGGAGGGAGGAAGGAGAGGAUGCUGGGAACUGGAGGGAGGGAGGAGAGGAUGCUGGGAACUGGAGGGAGGGAGGAUGCUGGGAACUGGAGGGAGGGAGGAGAGGAUGCUGGGAACUGGAGGGAGAGAGGAAGAGGAUGCUGUAACUCGAGGGAGGAGAGGAUGCUGGGAACUGGAGGGAGGGAGGAGAGGAUGAUGGGAACUCGAGGGAGGAGAGGAUGCUGGGAACUGGUUAAGGAAAAGCUUCCAUUUCUCAUCUGUCAAAAAAUUUGACAGUUGAAGUUAUAUAAACUUCUCUUUGUAGAAAUAGAUGUUAUAUCUUGAGUGUAUUAGAACAUCUGCUGCGGUGUGACAGGUG
This 1571-nucleotide long non-coding RNA is filed under the name Salmo salar (Atlantic salmon). Its description in RNAcentral is "lncRNA (ENSSSAG00000097674.1)". The record is from RNAcentral. Lineage: Eukaryota; Metazoa; Chordata; Actinopteri; Salmoniformes; Salmonidae.